UCCUCGAAGAGAUUCAAUCCGACACACCAGAAACUCAGGCUUGUUAAGGGGAUGAUGGGGCGGGAGAAAUCGGGAUUAGAAAGCAUUUUUUUCUCCUCUUCAUGAUCUACAAUAUCAAAAGAAGAAAGAGAAGGCUCUCGAUGAUAAAUCUGUGCAUUUAUAACAGUGCCACUGAUGCUGAAGGGAGUUCAUUAACCUUAGUGAACUGGAUCAGGCCCUGAGUUUGAGAAGGAAGAAGAAUAUCU
This 245-nucleotide long non-coding RNA is filed under the name Crocodylus porosus (Australian saltwater crocodile). Its description in RNAcentral is "lncRNA (ENSCPRG00005018372.1)". The record is from RNAcentral. Lineage: Eukaryota; Metazoa; Chordata; Crocodylia; Crocodylidae.